GAGCCUUUCGGGGUGGAUUAGUGGCAGAACGGGUGAGUAACACGUGGGCAAUCUGCCCUUCACUCUGGGACAAGCCCUGGAAACGGGGUCUAAUACCGGAUAACACUCUGUCCUGCAUGGGACGGGGUUAAAAGCUCCGGCGGUGAAGGAUGAGCCCGCGGCCUAUCAGCUUGUUGGUGGGGUAAUGGCCUACCAAGGCGACGACGGGUAGCCGGCCUGAGAGGGCGACCGGCCACACUGGGACUGAGACACGGCCCAGACUCCUACGGGAGGCAGCAGUGGGGAAUAUUGCACAAUGGGCGAAAGCCUGAUGCAGCGACGCCGCGUGAGGGAUGACGGCCUUCGGGUUGUAAACCUCUUUCAGCAGGGAAGAAGCGAAAGUGACGGUACCUGCAGAAGAAGCGCCGGCUAACUACGUGCCAGCAGCCGCGGUAAUACGUAGGGCGCAAGCGUUGUCCGGAAUUAUUGGGCGUAAAGAGCUCGUAGGCGGCUUGUCACGUCGGAUGUGAAAGCCCGGGGCUUAACCCCGGGUCUGCAUUCGAUACGGGCUAGCUAGAGUGUGGUAGGGGAGAUCGGAAUUCCUGGUGUAGCGGUGAAAUGCGCAGAUAUCAGGAGGAACACCGGUGGCGAAGGCGGAUCUCUGGGCCAUUACUGACGCUGAGGAGCGAAAGCGUGGGGAGCGAACAGGAUUAGAUACCCUGGUAGUCCACGCCGUAAACGUUGGGAACUAGGUGUUGGCGACAUUCCACGUCGUCGGUGCCGCAGCUAACGCAUUAAGUUCCCCGCCUGGGGAGUACGGGCCGCAAGGCUAAAACUCAAAGGAAUUGACGGGGGCCCGC
Molecule: ribosomal RNA, 839 nt
Filed under: Streptomyces sp.
Lineage: Bacteria; Bacillati; Actinomycetota; Actinomycetes; Kitasatosporales; Streptomycetaceae
Description: bacterial SSU rRNA
Rfam family: Bacterial small subunit ribosomal RNA
Source: RNAcentral